AUUGAACGCUGGCGGCAUGCUUUACACAUGCAAGUCGAACGGCAGCGCGGGCUUCGGCCUGGCGGCGAGUGGCGAACGGGUGAGUAAUGCAUCGGAACGUGCCCAGUAGUGGGGGAUAGCCCGGCGAAAGCCGGAUUAAUACCGCAUACGACCUGAGGGUGAAAGCGGGGGACCGAAAGGCCUCGCGCUAUUGGGGCGGCCGAUGUCGGAUUAGCUAGUUGGUGGGGUAAAGGCUUACCAAGGCGACGAUCCGUAGCUGGUCUGAGAGGACGACCAGCCACACGGGGACUGAGACACGGCCCAGACUCCUACGGGAGGCAGCAGUGGGGAAUUUUGGACAAUGGGGGCAACCCUGAUCCAGCCAUGCCGCGUGCGGGAAGAAGGCCUUCGGGUUGUAAACCGCUUUUGUUCGGGAAGAAAUCCUCUGGGCUAAUACCCCGGGGGGAUGACGGUACCGGAAGAAUAAGCACCGGCUAACUACGUG
Molecule: ribosomal RNA, 484 nt
Filed under: uncultured bacterium
Lineage: Bacteria
Description: partial 16S ribosomal RNA
Rfam family: Bacterial small subunit ribosomal RNA
Source: RNAcentral